GAUGAACGCUGGCGGCGUGCCUAAUACAUGCAAGUCGAGCGAACGGACGAGAAGCUUGCUUCUCUGAUGUUAGCGGCGGACGGGUGAGUAACACGUGGAUAACCUACCUAUAAGACUGGGAUAACUUCGGGAAACCGGAGCUAAUACCGGAUAUUAUUUUGAACCGCAUGGUUCAAAAGUGAAAGACGGUCUUGCUGUCACUUAUAGAUGGAUCCGCGCUGCAUUAGCUAGUUGGUAAGGUAACGGCUUACCAAGGCAACGAUGCAUAGCCGACCUGAGAGGGUGAUCGGCCACACUGGAACUGAGACACGGUCCAGACUCCUACGGGAGGCAGCAGUAGGGAAUCUUCCGCAAUGGGCGAAAGCCUGACGGAGCAACGCCGCGUGAGUGAUGAAAGUCUUCGGAUCGUAAAACUCUGUUAUUAGGGAAGAACAUAUGUGUAAGUAACUGUGCACAUCUUGACGGUACCUAAUCAAAAAGCCACGGCUAACUACGUG
This 497-nucleotide ribosomal RNA is filed under the name uncultured bacterium. Its description in RNAcentral is "partial 16S ribosomal RNA". It matches the Rfam family "Bacterial small subunit ribosomal RNA", at positions 28 to 507 of the family's 1533-position model. The record is from RNAcentral.